AUUGAACGCUGGCGGCAUGCCUUACACAUGCAAGUCGAACGGCAGCACGGGUGCUUGCACCUGGUGGCGAGUGGCGAACGGGUGAGUAAUACAUCGGAACGUACCUUAUCGUGGGGGAUAACGCAGCGAAAGUUGCGCUAAUACCGCAUACGCCCUGAGGGGGAAAGCGGGGGACCGUAAGGCCUCGCGCGAUUAGAGCGGCCGAUGUGUGAUUAGCUUGUUGGUGAGGGAAAAGCUCACCAAGGCGAUGAUCAGUAGCUGGUCUGAGAGGACGAUCCGCCACACUGGGACUGAGACACGGCCCAGACUCCUACGGGAGGCAGCAGUGGGGAAUUUUGGACAAUGGGGGCAACCCUGAUCCAGCAAUGCCGCGUGAGUGAAGAAGGCCUUCGGGUUGUAAAGCUCUUUUGUCAGGGAAGAAACAGCAGCUCUAACACAGUCUGCGAAUGACGGUACCUGAAGAAUAAGCACCGGCUAACUACGUGCCAGCCGCCGCAGUAA
Molecule: ribosomal RNA, 501 nt
Filed under: uncultured bacterium
Lineage: Bacteria
Description: partial 16S ribosomal RNA
Rfam family: Bacterial small subunit ribosomal RNA
Source: RNAcentral